GACCCUGGGAUCAAGGAUCUUCUGGUGAGAGCCUUGUUCAUAGGCAGCCUGCAUGGCAGGAGGGAUGAGGAAACUGAAUCAUAAAGACAUUAUGUGAAAAUAUGUUCAAGUGCUUAGAAACGAAGCUAGUGUCACAGACUUCAUCUCAAUAAAUAUGUAGCUCUAUACAAAACCGAAAAUAAUAAAUAGAAACUUCCAUCCUGUUUUACUAGGAUACUUUUCUAAUGUCAAGCACUGGUGUG
Long non-coding RNA from Lutra lutra (Eurasian river otter), 242 nucleotides. RefSeq lists it as uncharacterized. The transcript has 3 exons. NCBI's taxonomy places the organism in Eukaryota, Metazoa, Chordata, Mammalia, Carnivora, Mustelidae. The record is from RefSeq and is a predicted model, not a curated record.